RNAcentral lists this ribosomal RNA (68 nucleotides) under uncultured bacterium. RNAcentral describes it as "partial 16S ribosomal RNA". The record is from RNAcentral.
GUCUUAGACUUAUCGCUUAAAGAUGGCCUCGCGUCUGAUUAGCUAGUUGGUGAGGUAACGGCCCACCA